Molecule: ribosomal RNA, 424 nt
Filed under: Paracidovorax citrulli
Lineage: Bacteria; Pseudomonadati; Pseudomonadota; Betaproteobacteria; Burkholderiales; Comamonadaceae
Description: bacterial SSU rRNA
Rfam family: Bacterial small subunit ribosomal RNA
Source: RNAcentral
GCGAAGAACCUUACCCACCUUUGACAUGUACGGAAUCCUUUAGAGAUAGAGGAGUGCUCGAAAGAGAACCGUAACACAGGUGCUGCAUGGCUGUCGUCAGCUCGUGUCGUGAGAUGUUGGGUUAAGUCCCGCAACGAGCGCAACCCUUGCCAUUAGUUGCUACGAAAGGGCACUCUAAUGGGACUGCCGGUGACAAACCGGAGGAAGGUGGGGAUGACGUCAAGUCCUCAUGGCCCUUAUAGGUGGGGCUACACACGUCAUACAAUGGCUGGUACAGAGGGUUGCCAACCCGCGAGGGGGAGCUAAUCCCAUAAAGCCAGUCGUAGUCCGGAUCGCAGUCUGCAACUCGACUGCGUGAAGUCGGAAUCGCUAGUAAUCGCGGAUCAGAAUGUCGCGGUGAAUACGUUCCCGGGCCUUGUACACA